Molecule: ribosomal RNA, 482 nt
Filed under: uncultured bacterium
Lineage: Bacteria
Description: bacterial SSU rRNA
Rfam family: Bacterial small subunit ribosomal RNA
Source: RNAcentral
GAUGAACGCUAGCGGCAGGCUUAACACAUGCAAGUCGAGGGGUAGAAGCAGCUUGCUGCUUUGAGACCGGCGCACGGGUGCGUAACGCGUAUGCAAUCUACCUUUUACAGAGGGAUAGCCCAGAGAAAUUUGGAUUAAUACCUCAUAGUAUGUGAGAAUCGCAUGGUUUUCACAUUAAAGUUCCAACGGUAAAAGAUGAGCAUGCGUCCCAUUAGCUCGAUGGUAAGGUAACGGCUUACCAUGGCGACGAUGGGUAGGGGUCCUGAGAGGGAGAUCCCCCACACUGGUACUGAGACACGGACCAGACUCCUACGGGAGGCAGCAGUGAGGAAUAUUGGACAAUGGGCGCAAGCCUGAUCCAGCCAUGCCGCGUGCAGGAAGACGGUCCUAUGGAUUGUAAACUGCUUUUAUACAGGAAGAAACCCUCCACGUGUGGAGCUUGACGGUACUGUAGGAAUAAGGAUCGGCUAACUCCGUGCCAG